ACAUGCAAGUCGAGCGGUAGCACAGAGAGCUUGCUCUCGGGUGACGAGCGGCGGACGGGUGAGUAAUGUCUGGGAAACUGCCUGAUGGAGGGGGAUAACUACUGGAAACGGUAGCUAAUACCGCAUAACGUCGCAAGACCAAAGUGGGGGACCUUCGGGCCUCAUGCCAUCAGAUGUGCCCAGAUGGGAUUAGCUGGUAGGUGGGGUAACGGCUCACCUAGGCGACGAUCCCUAGCUGGUCUGAGAGGAUGACCAGCCACACUGGAACUGAGACACGGUCCAGACUCCAACGGGAGGCAGCAGUGGGGAAUAUUGCACAAUGGGCGCAAGCCUGAUGCAGCCAUGCCGCGUGUGUGAAGAAGGCCUUCGGGUUGUAAAGCACUUUCAGCGGGGAGGAAGGCGGUGAGGUUAAUAACCUCAUCGAUUGACGUUACCCGCAGAAGAAGCACCGGCUAACUCCGUGCCAGCAGCCGCGGUAAUACGGAGGGUGCAAGCGUUAAUCGGAAUUACUGGGCGUAAAGCGCACGCAGGCGGUCUGUCAAGUCGGAUGUGAAAUCCCCGGGCUCAACCUGGGAACUGCAUUCGAAACUGGCAGGCUAGAGUCUUGUAGAGGGGGGUAGAAUUCCAGGUGUAGCGGUGAAAUGCGUAGAGAUCUGGAGGAAUACCGGUGGCGAAGGCGGCCCCCUGGACAAAGACUGACGCUCAGGUGCGAAAGCGUGGGGAGCAAACAGGAUUAGAUACCCUGGUAGUCCACGCUGUAAACGAUGUCGAUUUGGAGGUUGUGCCCUUGAGGCGUGGCUUCCGGAGCUAACGCGUUAAAUCGACCGCCUGGGGAGUACGGCCGCAAGGUUAAAACUCAAAUGAAUUGACGGGGGCCCGCACAAGCGGUGGAGCAUGUGGUUUAAUUCGAUGCAACGCGAAGAACCUUACCUGGUCUUGACAUCCACAGAACUUUCCAGAGAUGGAUUGGUGCCUUCGGGAACUGUGAGACAGGUGCUGCAUGGCUGUCGUCAGCUCGUGUUGUGAAAUGUUGGGUUAAGUCCCGCAACGAGCGCAACCCUUAUCCUUUGUUGCCAGCGGUCAGGCCGGGAACUCAAAGGAGACUGCCAGUGAUAAACUGGAGGAAGGUGGGGAUGACGUCAAGUCAUCAUGGCCCUUACGACCAGGGCUACACACGUGCUACAAUGGCAUAUACAAAGAGAAGCGACCUCGCGAGAGCAAGCGGACCUCAUAAAGUAUGUCGUAGUCCGGAUUGGAGUCUGCAACUCGACUCCAUGAAGUCGGAAUCGCUAGUAAUCGUAGAUCAGAAUGCUACGGUGAAUACGUUCCCGGGCCUUGUACACACCGCCCGUCACACCAUGGGAGUGGGUUGCAAAAGAAGUAGGUAGCUUAACCUUCGGGAGGGCGCUUACCACUUUGAUUCA
Molecule: ribosomal RNA, 1424 nt
Filed under: Klebsiella variicola
Lineage: Bacteria; Pseudomonadati; Pseudomonadota; Gammaproteobacteria; Enterobacterales; Enterobacteriaceae
Description: bacterial SSU rRNA
Rfam family: Bacterial small subunit ribosomal RNA
Source: RNAcentral